This 397-nucleotide transfer-messenger RNA is filed under the name Clostridiales bacterium. It matches the Rfam family "transfer-messenger RNA". Rfam says of the family: Bacterial tmRNA, also known as 10Sa RNA or SsrA, is named for its dual tRNA and mRNA-like properties. Lineage: Bacteria; Bacillati; Bacillota; Clostridia; Eubacteriales. The record is from RNAcentral.
GGGGGUGUCACGGCUUCGACGGGGAGUGCGGUAGUAGGACAGCAAGUAGUAGUCGCCCAAGUGCUACUCAAAAAGGGGCAAAACCAUAAAUGCUAACAAAACAGCAAAAACAGAUGUAGCUCCUGCAACUUUUGCAGCUCCUGCAUUUGCAUUCGCAGCUUAGUUUUUAGCCUGCGACGAUACUGCAUAGUUUGCUUUGGCUGUGCCCGUGUCGUCAUUGACAAAGCCACUGGCAAUAUGUUGUUGUAGCCGACCUAUUGCAACUCAAUACUACACUUCUCAAGUUGGUCUUGCACAAUUGAACCAACUUGACCGUACUCAAUCAACAGUGCUAAACUUGUAGAACACUAUAUAUCAAGCUCUUCGGAAAGGGGUUCGACUCCCCUCACCUCCACCA